Molecule: ribosomal RNA, 633 nt
Filed under: Salmonella enterica subsp. enterica serovar Weltevreden
Lineage: Bacteria; Pseudomonadati; Pseudomonadota; Gammaproteobacteria; Enterobacterales; Enterobacteriaceae
Description: bacterial LSU rRNA
Rfam family: Bacterial large subunit ribosomal RNA
Source: RNAcentral
AUAGGGGAGCCGGAGGGAAACCGAGUCUUAACCGGGCGUUAAGUUGCAGGGUAUAGACCCGAAACCCGGUGAUCUAGCCAUGGGCAGGUUGAAGGUUGGGUAACACUAACUGGAGGACCGAACCGACUAAUGUUGAAAAAUUAGCGGAUGACCUGUGGCUGGGGGUGAAAGGCCAAUCAAACCGGGAGAUAGCUGGUUCUCCCCGAAAGCUAUUUAGGUAGCGCCUCGUGAAUUCAUCUCCGGGGGUAGAGCACUGUUUCGGCUAGGGGGCCAUCCCGGCUUACCAACCCGAUGCAAACUGCGAAUACCGGAGAAUGUUAUCACGGGAGACACACGGCGGGUGCUAACGUCCGUCGUGAAGAGGGAAACAACCCAGACCGCCAGCUAAGGUCCCAAAGUCAUGGUUAAGUGGGAAACGAUGUGGGAAGGCCCAGACAGCCAGGAUGUUGGCUUAGAAGCAGCCAUCAUUUAAAGAAAGCGUAAUAGCUCACUGGUCGAGUCGGCCUGCGCGGAAGAUGUAACGGGGCUAAACCAUGCACCGAAGCUGCGGCAGCGACGCUUAUGCGUUGUUGGGUAGGGGAGCGUUCUGUAAGCCUGUGAAGGUGGCCUGUGAGGGUUGCUGGAGGUAUCAGA